RNAcentral lists this small RNA (148 nucleotides) under Pongo abelii (Sumatran orangutan). RNAcentral's name for it is "Metazoan signal recognition particle RNA (ENSPPYG00000031402.1)". Lineage: Eukaryota; Metazoa; Chordata; Mammalia; Primates; Hominidae. The record is from Rfam by way of RNAcentral.
GCCGGGUGUGGUGGCGCAUGCCUGUAAUCCCAGGUACUUGGGAGGCUGAGGCAGGAGAUUCGCUGGAAACUGGGAGGCAGAGGUUGCAGUGAGCCGAGAUUGUGCCACUGCACUCCAGCCUGGGUGACAGAGCGAGACUCUGUCUCAA